AAAGGAAUAGACGGGGACCCGCACAAGCGGUGGAGCAUGUGGUUUAAUUCGAAGCAACGCGAAGAACCUUACCAAGUCUUGACAUCCUUCUGACAGAGUAUGUAAUGUACUUUCCCUCCGGGGCAGAAGUGACAGGUGGUGCAUGGUUGUCGUCAGCUCGUGUCGUGAGAUGUUGGGUUAAGUCCCGCAACGAGCGCAACCCUUAUCCUUAGUAGCCAGCAGUAAGAUGGGCACUCUAGGGAGACUGCCGGGGUGAACCCGGAGGAAGGUGGGGAUGACGUCAAAUCAUCAUGCCCCUUAUGACUUGGGCUACACACGUGCUACAAUGGCGUGAACAGAGGGAAGCGAAAGAGCGAUCUGGAGCGAAUCCCAUAAAUCACGUCCCAGUUCGGACUGUAGUCUGCAACUCGACUACACGAAGCUGGAAUCGCUAGUAAUCGCAGAUCAGAAUGCUGCGGUGAAUACGUUCCCGGGUCUUGUACACACCGCCCGU
RNAcentral lists this ribosomal RNA (493 nucleotides) under uncultured bacterium. RNAcentral's name for it is "bacterial SSU rRNA". It matches the Rfam family "Bacterial small subunit ribosomal RNA", at positions 903 to 1397 of the family's 1533-position model. The record is from RNAcentral.